CUGGCUCCUAGAGGCAUUGCAGAUGUGGCUGCUGUGUCUGUCACACGCGUGACAGUAGGUGGCAGAGAAGAGAGGUUAUGUCUAUGUUCAGUCUUCUGACCUAUAAAUGUCUGAAUGAUUAGUUAGCUUAAUAUU
Rattus norvegicus (Norway rat) is the source of this 135-nucleotide small nucleolar RNA. Ensembl annotates it as small nucleolar RNA SNORA17. The record is from Ensembl. Lineage: Eukaryota; Metazoa; Chordata; Mammalia; Rodentia; Muridae.